Gavialis gangeticus (Gharial) is the source of this 1408-nucleotide long non-coding RNA. RefSeq lists it as uncharacterized. NCBI's taxonomy places the organism in Eukaryota, Metazoa, Chordata, Crocodylia, Gavialidae. The transcript has 2 exons. The record is from RefSeq and is a predicted model, not a curated record.
AAGCCAAGCUGGAGAGGGUGCCCUGGCCCCUUCCCUGCCUUGCUGGGGAGCCCCACGCGCCUCCUGGCAGAGCCGCCUCCACCCCCGUGCCGUAUGGGAGGUGGAACAAGCUUCAUACCAGGCUGCAGCAGCCGCGGCAGAGAGUUAAUGUUAGAGCGGGGGGAGGGGAGGCAGAGUUUGUAAAUGGAAACACUGGUACAUGAGCGUUUCGCACAAUCUGGCUGAAAGCUCCGACUGCAACGGGCUGAAAACCAAAUCUCUCCCUUUGCUGCCCCCUGGCUGCCAACGUUGGCUAUUAUUCUCUAGGAGAAAAAGAAAGGAUGAGGCACAUAAACUCUUCACAAACUGCAUCUUUCUGGCAACUUACGGUUUUGUGUAGAUUGCAGGCCAGGGUUGGCGCCCGGUUGUGGGAAGAUUGGACUGGAAAGGCCUCCUGCGUCAUUUAAGUCCAGUCCCUGUUGUCUGCAAGCAACCAUUGACUCAAGGACGCCGCUUCAAGAUUGCCACUUCAAACCCUCGCGUACAACUGCAAGGCGCACAAUCAGAAGUGCGAGGAAGAUCCUCAGCAUGCCAUAGCACAUUUCCAGAGGAGAAGAAGACUGAAAAGUCAGAGCUAACAACCCUGGAAAAAUGAAGAAUAAAAUAGGAAGGGAGGGAAAGCCUACUGAUAGAGAUACAGAGAUGCACGCUCCAGGUAAUCUCACUGACAGUAAUUCUCAAUUUUGUAUUGCAGUGCCGUGCACUGAAUAUGAAGAUUAGUUAUUCUGCUCAACAGUCCAAAAAUAAAGACCUUAUAUUCUCAGUCCCCAGCUUGUUGCCUUUUAUAAGCCACUCUCUCCAGACACGUCAAUUCCCAUAGUCCACUGCUCCACUCCUUUAAGAGUAAAGCUGUUGGUUUUUUCUACUGUUGCAAUGCUAUUUUCUUAGCGAUCAAAUAAACCUUUUCUCUGCUAAAUGUGAGAGUUUCAGUGAUUUGGGGCUUCCACCCAAUAAAAAUAGGCAACAUAUAAUGGAAUUACCUGGAAAAGUAAGAUUAAUUCUAGCAAGCAGAUCCUUCCAAAUCCUAUUAGGGAACAAGCAUUUCCAUGGAAAUUGUUGUAUGAUGGAGUUCUCCUAGACGCUCAACAUCUUCAGCAAGCAUCCACUGCCUUUGGGCCAAGGCCGUGUAUUCUAAUAGAGACCCACUAUAAUCUACAUGUAAAUGUUGUCCAAGCUGAUGAUGAAGGCUAAACAAGAUCCUGGACUAUGUCCAGUAGACAAUUUAGGUAACUAUAUGUUAGGCACUAAAACAGUAGCUUUUAGGUGCCUGGUCCCCAGAGGGGAAUUCAAAACAGAGUUGGGUGGUAGGUACAUUGAAUGCGGAAAGAGGCUUCCCAGAAGGGUGAUCCAAAAAACAUACAGAAGAAGU